CCCAAACUGAGCUCCUCAAAACGUGGCUUCCUCGUUUUUCAUGCCGUUUCCAUCCAACUUGCUCAUCCUGUUUCAGAAGGGCUGGGCCUCGUAAUUAAAAGCUCCACCAAUCUUACGUCUGGCAAAUGUCAUCAAUGACUUUACGAUGACUUUUCUACCUCUACUCAUGCUGAGAUUCUGUAUUCUGUCUGCAGUGAGCACCGUGGCGCAUACACAGAGGCUGCAACUUGAAGCUGACACGUGUGACUCCACCACCUCCAUCCAGAAUGAUGAAUGCUUAAAGAUUCUAUUCCCCUGAAAAGGCACAGUGAUAACAUGACAUACCCA
This 327-nucleotide long non-coding RNA is filed under the name Gallus gallus (chicken). The record is from RNAcentral. Lineage: Eukaryota; Metazoa; Chordata; Aves; Galliformes; Phasianidae.